RNAcentral lists this ribosomal RNA (253 nucleotides) under uncultured bacterium. RNAcentral describes it as "partial 16S ribosomal RNA". It matches the Rfam family "Bacterial small subunit ribosomal RNA", at positions 524 to 776 of the family's 1533-position model. The record is from RNAcentral.
UACAGAGGAGACGAGCGUUGUUCGGAAUUACUGGGCUUAAAGAGCACGUAGGCGGCCCUGAAAGUGUCCCGUGAAAUCCUUCCGCUCAACGGAGGAACUGCGGGGCAAACUACAGGGCUUGAGGUCGGUAGGGGUGCCCGGAACUCUAGGUGGAGCGGUGAAAUGCGUAGAUAUCUAGAGGAACGCCGGCGGCGAAAGCGGGGCACUGGGCCGAAUCUGACGCUGAGGUGCGAAAGCGUGGGGAGCAAACAGG